Molecule: long non-coding RNA, 1592 nt
Filed under: Triticum aestivum (bread wheat)
Lineage: Eukaryota; Viridiplantae; Streptophyta; Magnoliopsida; Poales; Poaceae
Description: long non-coding RNA (TAES_LNC027822)
Source: RNAcentral
GCUAAAUGAAUAGCAGAUCAACGAAUUUGUUACUGGAGCAACGGCCCACCCCGUGUAACAGUCGAAGCCCAGACGGGACUGAUGAGAAAUCAUGAUGUCUUUCUCCUCUAUGUGCAAGGAUGAUGGUUCUGGUUGUGUACUCAAUAUAUAAGGUGAGUUGGCUGUUGCUUGAUUUAAAACUGGGACAAUAGGUUUCUUGAUUUGUCCCGUGGCAACCUUUUUUCUGUCAGGUUGUUUAUGAUAAGUUGAUAACACUGAGAUUAUCUAGAAAGGAUUCAGAGUUUUGCUGAAUCCAGAUUACCACACACAUGAUGCAAAAUUAACAACCAGGACUUUGAAAGAUGAAUGACGGUGCUUAUUACGUGGUAGAAAUCAAAUAUCAAAAGAGAAUAUAAUGUUUGCGAAGGUGUGUGUACUGUGUACUGUACAAGCAUACUGAUUGAUGUGUUUUUUCUGUUGUUCCUUGUUGUUCCCUCAUGCAGCUGUGUCCAUAGAUAUUGAUCGAUAACUUAUUGCUUUGCCAAUUGCAGGAGAGGGGAGAGACAUACGGGCUGGGAGUUCUGGAUUUGAUGUCGUCACACUGAUCAAUUCCACCAUGCCAGACGAGAAUCAUGUCGCCAUCGAUGCCUUCCACAGUCCAGAAGGACUCUAGGAACAGCACCUCGGCUGGCUCGCCAUGUCUCCCAGUGGUUCGCCUUGUGCCUCCGGCAGACCAUUAGGACCUAAGGAAGAGCACCUCGCCUGACUCGCCAUGUGUCCCGGUGGCCCUUACCUCUGCACUGGCAUAUGGUGGUCUCUUCCUUCUUGAUGUUCAAUUCAUAAGCAUGAUCAUGUUGUGUGAUAGCGUGUACAUUUGCUCGGAAGAAAUAGGUGUCUGCUUAUUUCCUUUGUUUAGGUGUUCUUCUUUGUUUUGUUACUCCUACAUCCAUAUGCCACCAAGAGAUUACGCUAUAUGCUGGCUAUGGGACAGGUAGUUAGUUCACGUGGACUGCCAUACCCCAUACCUUCAUGUUUUAGUAUCUAUAUAUGCAUUAAGGAUAUACAAUUGUUCACUUUGUGUUUCUCUAUCAUUCAGGCCAUGGUACUGUUUGUAUUGUAUGCGACAAUUUACUUCUGUGAAGGCAUCAGGCAACGGUGAUGAACCCCUCUUAUCGUGAUGGUGUGAGGUGAUGGUAAAUCGAUGAUGAUGAGCAGAUUAAUAUGAAUGAAACUUUGCCCCAUGAUCUUCGUGAAGAAAUAAAUGGGUUGGGAAUUAGGUACCAUUACUGUACCCGAUCUUCAAUCUUCCACACCAAAUCUUCUAAUCUUGCCUGGCUUCAUCUCACACGCUGUUCUGGUAAUGAAUUAAAUUCAAAGACAAAUCAGUUUUGGGACUGCCUACUAGCAUAUCACUUCAAUAAAUUGAGGCAUGCAUAAAAGCCACUGUAUCUUCACAGAUGAAAUGCUCAUAUCACAAUGUAUUGUAGUGAUUGACAUGAUUUGUCAGAUUUACUUAACAUUUGAGUUGAUUAGCCAGUGCACGCUGCACCGUUUGCUUCAAAAACACACGAAGCAUAUGAGUAAUUAUUAUUUUAGAAAUGAAGAGGCCAUAU